UGUCUCAACAACAUGCCAUGCGAACUGAAAAUGCAAACGAGAGUCAAUUGUUAGGCAAGGUUGUUAUUAUAUUGGGCAGAGUGCAUUAGAAUUUUGUGAGAAUUGUCAGUAGGACCUAUUGGAGUAGGAUUUGUUGCGGUUAAUGUGAAAAUCAUGCCACAUAAUUCAGUUUUUUUUUUACAUCAGUAAAGAUUUAAAGGUUUUAUAGCAGAACGAAAGAUUCUCGCAGAAGAAAUAGUUAGUUGCAAGUAUAUUUACCUUUACAAAUUCCUGUGGUAUUUAAUGUUUUUCAAAAAAUCUCUUGUGAGCCCAUCUGAAAAUAUAUAGUCUCUUUUUAGAAAUGCAAUUGAAAAAAAUGAGGCUUGUUUUUAAAUGUGAGGCAUUUCAGUAAGACCAAUCUCGCAUUCAACAGGAGAAGUUUCAAUUUCAGAUAGGGGCGAAAGUUAAUGCUCAUCACUUAAAAAACUUUUAAGUAAAAUUUAGUAGUUUAAUAUUUACCUCUUUUAUUGAAAAAGCAGUCCAACAUCACAUGAUUUACCAAUCUGUAAAGAGGAUACAAAAAACUGGGUUAGAGUACUUUCAAACAAAUUUUCGUGGUUUUCAAGCGACAUUAUUUUCAGUAAGACCAAUCUCGCAUUCAACAGGAGAAGUUUCAAUUUCAGAUAGGGGCGAAAGUUAAGGCUCAUCAUAAGAAUUAGAUAAAAUUUGAAAUGAAUGUGUUCUCACCUUAAUUCCGAUGUUUAUUUGAGGCACGUUUAUAGAUUUUGUUCCGCUGAUCUGUAAAUAUAUAUUGGAAUUUGAAUUAUAUUGGAUUCAGACAAAGAUAGCCCACAUUUGUUAUAGUUUUUAGUUUUUCAGUAAGACCAAUCUCGCAUUCAACAAGAGAAGUUUCAAUUUCAGAUAGGGGCGAAAGUUAAUGCUCAUCAGAACUAUUACAAUCUAAAAAUAAUUAUCAAAUUGAAACUAACCUAAUGAUCACUGUCACUCCGCUUUGUCCUUUGAGAAGAAUUCCAAGCUACAAGAAAUGGAAACAAAAAUUAAGUUAAUAAGAAGUCAGCAGAUAGGGGCGAAAGUUAAUGCUCAUCAGAUAACGCAUGGGAAAGCCACACUUGAAGGCACUCAAAUAUGUAAUAUGAAACUCACCUUUAGUCUGCAGAGCCCUGCCUUUCUAACUGAAAAAAACCUAGGAAAAAGCUGAGUCCUUAAAAAACUAGCAAAAGAGUUCCACAA
This is a long non-coding RNA of Drosophila yakuba, 1230 nucleotides long. RefSeq lists it as uncharacterized. The record is from RefSeq and is a predicted model, not a curated record. The transcript has 2 exons. Lineage: Eukaryota; Metazoa; Arthropoda; Insecta; Diptera; Drosophilidae.